RNAcentral lists this ribosomal RNA (462 nucleotides) under Doryteuthis pealeii. Its description in RNAcentral is "eukaryotic LSU rRNA". The stretch from base 345 to 462 matches the Rfam family "Eukaryotic large subunit ribosomal RNA", at positions 813 to 930 of the family's 3401-position model. The record is from RNAcentral. Lineage: Eukaryota; Metazoa; Mollusca; Cephalopoda; Myopsida; Loliginidae.
GGGCCGCAUUGACUAACCCCGGAGGCGUAACGAAAGCGAGAGAGCGUGUUGGAGGGCUCCGGGCCGGGAGAGGUGUCGUGGCGAAGCUUCGGCCUAGCUGCGCCCGAUCCCGCCGGGGCGGCGUCCCCGCCAUUCCAAUCCCCGUCGUUAACGUCGCCGCUUCGGCGGUGGCGACCCGACUCUCGCAAGGGAGGAAGGUUUCGGCGGCGGCGGAGGGGGCGUCAUUCUCCUCCUUCCGCCCGUCGGUGAGAUCCCGCGCGCGACAGACCGUGCGCGGGCGCACCACCCCCGGGUCGGAUUUUCCGACUACGAGUCGGCCGACUCUGGUGUAGCGAGCGGCCAGGGACCCGAAAGAUGGCGAUCCACGCCCGGUCGGGAUGAAGCCAGAGGAAACUCUGGUGGAAGUCCGAAGCGCCUCUGACGUGCAAAUCGAUCGUCGGAACCGGGUGUAGGGGCGAAAGA